UUAUAAGAGACAGCAGCAGCCACGGUAAUACGUAGGGUGCGAGCGUUAAUCGGAAUUACUGGGCGUAAAGCGUGCGCAGGCGGUUAUAUAAGACAGAUGUGAAAUCCCCGGGCUCGACCUGGGAACUGCAUUUGAGACUGUAUGGCUAGAGUGUGUCAGAGGAGGGUAGAAUUCCACGUGUAGCAGUGAAAUGCGUAGAUAUGUGGAGGAAUACCGAUGGCGAAGGCAGCCACCUGGGAUAACACUGACGCUCAUGCACGAAAGCGUGGGGAGCAAACAGGAUUAGAUACCCCCGUAGUCCCUGUCUCUUAUAC
RNAcentral lists this ribosomal RNA (314 nucleotides) under uncultured bacterium. Its description in RNAcentral is "partial 16S ribosomal RNA". It matches the Rfam family "Bacterial small subunit ribosomal RNA", at positions 499 to 807 of the family's 1533-position model. The record is from RNAcentral.